GACGAACGCUGGCGGCGUGCUUAACACAUGCAAGUCGAACGGAAAGGCCCAGCUUGCUGGGUACUCGAGUGGCGAACGGGUGAGUAACACGUGGGUGAUCUGCCCCAAACUUCGGGAUAAGCCUGGGAAACUGGGUCUAAUACCGGAUAUGACCUGCUCCUGCAUGGGGGUUGUGGAAAGCUUUUGCGGUUUGGGAUGGGCCCGCGGCCUAUCAGCUUGUUGGUGGGGUAAUGGCCUACCAAGGCGACGACGGGUAGCCGACCUGAGAGGGUGAUCGGCCACACUGGGACUGAGACACGGCCCAGACUCCUACGGGAGGCAGCAGUGGGGAAUAUUGCACAAUGGGCGCAAGCCUGAUGCAGCGACGCCGCGUGAGGGA
RNAcentral lists this ribosomal RNA (379 nucleotides) under uncultured bacterium. RNAcentral's name for it is "bacterial SSU rRNA". It matches the Rfam family "Bacterial small subunit ribosomal RNA", at positions 28 to 408 of the family's 1533-position model. The record is from RNAcentral.